UCCAGCAAAGCAGUUCUGCACGCCGGGGAACAACGCCGGUUGCUGGCCACUUCUCGACGGCCACCCUGGCCCCGCUUUGGUUUGGCGUAGCUUGGGGGUGGAAGAGGUGGGCGCAUCGGCGAGGGUGCGGCUUCGGUGCAAGCGGUGGAUGUGGACGAGGGAUGUUGCUGCGGAGCAGGCGGAGGAGGAGGGUGGAAGGGAAGGCGAGGCGACCGGAGGUGAGGAGAAGAGGCGACCGCGUGAUCCGCUGUGCGAAUGCUCGGGCCCGUCGUUUCGGGGGAUGGACGACGACGAUCCUGUACGACGGUACGCUCUUACGCGGGGAUAGUUGCGAUUUCGCCUGCCUCGCCGCCGCCGCCGCCUGGGACCGUCUUCUUCUCCGGCCACGAGCUCCGCCACCGCAACAUCGACCUCAAUCGGAGGAGAGGGGGAGACCGAGUCAGAGAGCUGAGCGGCAGUAUUCCUAUUGGAGAAGGCUAUCGGCGCCGCCUGCAAUGCAACGUGAGGGAUGGAUGCUCACUUGUUGAUGCAAAAAUUCUUAACCACGGAUGGACAAUUAACGUUGUUGCGUCAAAUGCUUUAUGCAACCUUUGCUUGUGGAGUACUGGAUGUCAUGGGAUCAACAACCAGUAGGUGGUCCGUUGUCGUGCCCUACCAAUUAUCAGACUCUUAAAUUUGGGGUCCUGAUAUGUGGAAUUCUGAACACAACAUUCACCAUCCGGAGGGUCCACAGCUUGCCUGGGCCGUGGAACUAUGGAUCUGGAAUGCCUUGCACACAAUACACAAGCAACAGCAGUGACCUAAUGAUGCAGAGUUAGACUUGGAUGCAGAUGCUGUAAUGCCCAUGUAGCAAGGGGGGUGACCCGCAGUUUAAAACUAAUGCUUGGCUUCCCUAGACAACACCAACAGUUCAGUAGGAAGGAACAGUGAAAUUUUACCUGUGCGACGGUGCUAGAAAGCAAAGGAGACUGCUGUACCAUCUUGACCUCAGCAACAGCAGUGCCCUACAGAACCUAGCGUGCACUUUGGACUGGAGUGAUAAUUGGUUAGAUCUGAGAAGUUCACAUGGAUCAUUUCAGAACCUGCCAGUUGUGAAGGCAACAACAGGACAACGCCCUUUGUGACGGACUGAUGGUAGCAGCUAAUCCAGGAGUCAGCAACAGGCUGCAGAAGCAGUUCUACAUGAAUGCAGGAUCUCGCCUGGACUCUGGACUAUUUGAUUGUUUUGAUAUGAACUCGAGAGUCUUCAGAUAGUUGAAUCACAUGUGCUAACUUUCAAGGCAACAACAGUCCCAUGAAUGCAUCAACUAUUCUGGGUAUGUCUAUUCUCACACAGCUAUUUUUUUAUGAUUUACUUUAAAAACUGAAGACACAUGCUGCUAAUUAACAUUACUUAAUUUUGAUACCGUUUGUUUGGUACAGACAGUUUAGCGUCUUCUAUGAUUCUGGCCAAGUUCCCUUGUUCACUAGGAACGCACACCAUUUCUCAAGUUCUCAAGCUGCAGGCUUGCAGCAAAGAACGCAAACAGUUCAGGCUUAUCUUUUUCAUCAAUCUAAUGCAUUUUCUUUAGAUCGCACAACAUGCAAAACUUGCAAAUUUUCUGCUUCCUUCUAGCUGAAUCUAAUGCACGGCUAGUCAUAAAUGACCUUUAGGACCUGUUUGUUUGAGCUUCUGCUUUUGGUUUUUUUA
This is a long non-coding RNA of Phragmites australis (common reed), 1690 nucleotides long. RefSeq lists it as uncharacterized. Lineage: Eukaryota; Viridiplantae; Streptophyta; Magnoliopsida; Poales; Poaceae. The record is from RefSeq and is a predicted model, not a curated record. The transcript has 3 exons.